This 119-nucleotide ribosomal RNA is filed under the name Aotus nancymaae (Ma's night monkey). The record is from RNAcentral. Lineage: Eukaryota; Metazoa; Chordata; Mammalia; Primates; Aotidae.
GUCUAUGGCCAUACCACCCUGAACGUGCCCUAUCUCGUCUGAUCUCCAAAGCUAAGCAGGGUCGGGCCUGGUUAGUACUUGGAUGGGAGACCUCCUGUGAAUACCGGGUGCUGUAGGCU